AUACGGAGGAUGCGAGCGUUAUCCGGAUUUAUUGGGUUUAAAGGGUGCGUAGGCUGUGCGUUAAGUCAGGGGUGAAAUGCCGUCGCUCAACGACGGAGCUGCCCUUGAUACUGGCGUGCUGGAGUACGGAUGCCGUUGGAGGAAUGAGUGGUGUAGCGGUGAAAUGCUUAGAUAUAACUCAGAACACCGAUUGCGAAGGCAUCUGACGAAUCCGUCACUGACGCUGAGGCACGAAAGCGUGGGGAUAGAACAGGAUUAGAUACCCUGGUAUUCCACGCCGUAAACGAUGAUGACUAACCGUCGGCGAUAGACAGCCGGUGGCCAAGCGAAAGCGAUAAGUCAUCCACCUGGGGAGUACGUCGGCAA
This 366-nucleotide ribosomal RNA is filed under the name uncultured bacterium. RNAcentral's name for it is "partial 16S ribosomal RNA". It matches the Rfam family "Bacterial small subunit ribosomal RNA", at positions 523 to 891 of the family's 1533-position model. The record is from RNAcentral.